RNAcentral lists this long non-coding RNA (222 nucleotides) under Elaeis guineensis (African oil palm). Its description in RNAcentral is "long non-coding RNA (EGUI_LNC062122)". Lineage: Eukaryota; Viridiplantae; Streptophyta; Magnoliopsida; Arecales; Arecaceae. The record is from RNAcentral.
ACUUAUCUAGCCAAUCAAAAAGAUUGAGUUUUGAAUAAGGUUGCUUGGUGGUUUGGUUUAGCCCAUGCCAAUUAGAUCGGCCAUAUGAUGACUGAUUAGAUGAGACCUACACCUAAACCUCCUCAUAAAUAUUAAGUCCAUAGAUCUUCCACCAUUGUAGAUAUACGGGUGUGGUACUGAUGUUGAUUGUUCUCGACUGGUCACAGUGGUUCAGCUGCAUCG